RNAcentral lists this ribosomal RNA (403 nucleotides) under bacterium. RNAcentral's name for it is "partial 16S ribosomal RNA". It matches the Rfam family "Bacterial small subunit ribosomal RNA", at positions 355 to 776 of the family's 1533-position model. The record is from RNAcentral.
UGGUGAAUAUUGCACAAUGGGGGAAACCCUGAUGCAGCGACGCCGCGUGAACGAAGAAGGUAUUCGUAUCGUAAAGUUCUGUCCUAUGGGAAGAUAAUGACAGUACCAUAGAAGAAAGCUCCGGCUAAAUACGUGCCAGCAGCCGCGGUAAUACGUAUGGAGCGAGCGUUGUCCGGAAUUAUUGGGCGUAAAGGGUACGCAGGCGGUUUAAUAAGUCGAAUGUUAAAGAUCGGGGCUCAACCCCGCAAAGCAUUGGAAACUGAUAAACUUGAGUCGUGGAGAGGAAAGUGGAAUUCCUUGUGUAGUGGUGAAAUACAUAGAUAUUAGGUGGAAUACCAGUAGCGAAGGCGACUUUCUGGCCACAAACUGACGCUGAGGUACGAAAGCGUGGGGAGCAAACAAG